Molecule: ribosomal RNA, 254 nt
Filed under: uncultured prokaryote
Description: partial 16S ribosomal RNA
Rfam family: Bacterial small subunit ribosomal RNA
Source: RNAcentral
ACGGGGGGAGCAAGCGUUGUUCGGAUUUACUGGGCGUAAAGGGCGCGUAGGCGGUCAGCACAAGUCAGUUGUGAAAUCUCCGGGCUUAACUCGGAAAGGUCAACUGAUACUGUGCGACUAGAGUGCGGAAGGGGCAACUGGAAUUCUCGGUGUAGCGGUGAAAUGCGUAGAUAUCGGGAGGAACACCUGAGGCGAAGGCGGGCUACUGGGCCGAUACUGACGCUGAUGCGCGAAAGCCAGGGGAGCGAACGGGA